RNAcentral lists this ribosomal RNA (253 nucleotides) under uncultured bacterium. Its description in RNAcentral is "partial 16S ribosomal RNA". It matches the Rfam family "Archaeal small subunit ribosomal RNA", at positions 474 to 727 of the family's 1478-position model. The record is from RNAcentral.
UACCAGCACCCCGAGUGGUCGGGACGAUUAUUGGGCCUAAAGCAUCCGUAGCCGGUCCUGCAAGUCUUCCGUUAAAUCCAGCUGCUCAACAGAUGGGCUGCGGAGGAUACUACAGGGCUAGGAGGCGGGAGAGGCAAGCGGUACUUUAUGGGUAGGGGUAAAAUCUGUUGAUCCAUAGAAGACCACCAGUGGCGAAGGCGGCUUGCCAGAACGCGCUCGACGGUGAGGGAUGAAAGCUGGGGGAGCAAACCGG